Molecule: non-coding RNA, 483 nt
Organism: Arachis ipaensis
Lineage: Eukaryota; Viridiplantae; Streptophyta; Magnoliopsida; Fabales; Fabaceae
Source: RefSeq, a predicted model, not a curated record
UGGACUAAAAUCCCUACCAAAAUCUCCACCUACCACAUCAACAAACAACAAAAAUCUCUGUUGCCAUUUGCCAAUCCUUAUAUCUCCCUUUGUAAGGUGUGCUUGAAUAAGAUGAGGGUGCUAUGGUCAACCUCCAUGGGCUUUCAAAAAGCCGAACCAUGUUAGUGAGCUUCAGUUAAUCAAAUAUUAAUAGUUUUUCAAUUUAGUGCCCAUCACAUUUGUCUCAGCCUACUUUGAUCUUCCAUUCGUUAACUUGAAAGGAUAUUUGAAUCAGCUUUGUUGGGGCCAUGGAGAGAUGAACUACGAAGAUUGUUGAUUGGGUUCUCUUUGAUGAAUCAUUGAGGUUGAGCGGAGGCAAAUGAAUCGUAAUCAAAACCGAAACAAGAAAAGGAAAACCCAUGGACAGUAUUCAGUAGGUGAUUAAAAAAAGAUUCAAUUUUGGUCUUUGGGUACUUUUGUUUAGCUUAUUUUUAUUUUCUUUUU